RNAcentral lists this transfer RNA (67 nucleotides) under Loxodonta africana (African savanna elephant). The stretch from base 9 to 67 matches the Rfam family "tRNA". Rfam says of the family: Transfer RNA (tRNA) molecules are approximately 80 nucleotides in length. Their secondary structure includes four short double-helical elements and three loops (D, anti-codon, and T loops). Further hydrogen bonds mediate the characteristic L-shaped molecular structure. tRNAs have two regions of fundamental functional importance: the anti-codon, which is responsible for specific mRNA codon recognition, and the 3' end, to which the tRNAs corresponding amino acid is attached (by aminoacyl-tRNA synthetases). tRNAs cope with the degeneracy of the genetic code in two manners: having more than one tRNA (with a specific anti-codon) for a particular amino acid; and 'wobble' base-pairing, i.e. permitting non-standard base-pairing at the 3rd anti-codon position. Lineage: Eukaryota; Metazoa; Chordata; Mammalia; Proboscidea; Elephantidae. The record is from Rfam by way of RNAcentral.
GGUGGCAUAGUGGUUAAGAGCUUGGCUGCAAACCAAAAGGUUGGUAGUUCCAAUCUACCAGCCACUC